UAACGGCGAGUGAGCGGCAAAAGCUCAAAUUUGAAAUCUGGUACCUUCGGUGCCCGAGUUGUAAUUUGGAGAGGGCAACUUUGGGGCCGUUCCUUGUCUAUGUUCCUUGGAACAGGACGUCAUAGAGGGUGAGAAUCCCGUGUGGCGAGGAGUGCGGUUCUUUGUAAAGUGCCUUCGAAGAGUCGAGUUGUUUGGGAAUGCAGCUCUAAGUGGGUGGUAAAUUCCAUCUAAAGCUAAAUAUUGGCGAGAGACCGAUAGCGAACAAGUACAGUGAUGGAAAGAUGAAAAGAACUUUGAAAAGAGAGUGAAAAAGUACGUGAAAUUGUUGAAAGGGAAGGGCAUUUGAUCAGACAUGGUGUUUUGUGCCCUCUGCUCCUUGUGGGUAGGGGAAUCUCGCAUUUCACUGGGCCAGCAUCAGUUUUGGUGGCAGGAUAAAUCCAUAGGAAUGUAGCUUGCCUCGGUAAGUAUUAUAGCCUGUGGGAAUACUGCCAGCUGGGACUGAGGACUGCGACGUAAGUCAAGGAUGCUGGCAUAAUGGUUAUAUGCCGCCCGUCUUG
This 557-nucleotide ribosomal RNA is filed under the name Saccharomyces cerevisiae (brewer's yeast). Its description in RNAcentral is "eukaryotic LSU rRNA". It matches the Rfam family "Eukaryotic large subunit ribosomal RNA", at positions 84 to 656 of the family's 3401-position model. The record is from RNAcentral. Lineage: Eukaryota; Fungi; Ascomycota; Saccharomycetes; Saccharomycetales; Saccharomycetaceae.